GAUCCUGGCUCAGAUUGAACGCUGGCGGCAUGCCUUACACAUGCAAGUCGAACGGUAACGCGGGGGCAACCUGGCGACGAGUGGCGAACGGGUGAGUAAUAUAUCGGAACGUGCCCAGUAGUGGGGGAUAGCCCGGCGAAAGCCGGAUUAAUACCGCAUGAGACCUGAGGGUGAAAGCGGGGGAUCGCAAGACCUCGCGCUAUUGGAGCGGUCCGAUAUCAGAUUAGGUAGUUGGUGGGGUAAAAGGCCUACCAAGCCGACGAUCUGUAGCUGGUCUGAGAGGACGACCAGCCACACUGGGACUGAGACACGGCCCAGACUCCUACGGGAGGCAGCAGUGGGGAAUUUUGGACAAUGGGCGCAAGCCUGAUCCAGCCAUGCCGCGUGCGGGAAGAAGGCCUUCGGGUUG
This 409-nucleotide ribosomal RNA is filed under the name uncultured bacterium. Its description in RNAcentral is "bacterial SSU rRNA". It matches the Rfam family "Bacterial small subunit ribosomal RNA", at positions 15 to 425 of the family's 1533-position model. The record is from RNAcentral.